UGUGUGUGUGUGUGUGUCUCAACCCAAAUGAGUAGGGGCCUGGCAAUGAGGUUUAGGAAGCACAAAAUGUUCAGCUGAAGCUCUUUUAAAAAAAUCAUUUAUUUCUUUUGGAGGGCAAGUCUGGUGCCAGCAGCUGCGGUAAUUCCAGCUCCAAUAGCGUAUAUUAAAGUUGCUGCAGUUAAAAAGCUCGUAGUUGGAUCUUGGGAGCGGGCGGGCGGUCCGCCGCGAGGGGAGCCACCGCCCGUCCCCGCCCCUUGCCUCUCGGCACCCCCUCGAUGCUCUUAGCUGAGUGUCCCGCGGGGCCCGAAGCGUUUACUUUGAAAAAAUUAGAGUGUUCAAAGCAGGCCCGAGCCGCCUGGAUACCGCAGCUAGGAAUAAUGGAAUAGGACCGCGGUUCUAUUUUGUUGGUUUUCGGAACUGAGGCCGCCUCCCGUGGCGGCGACGACCCAUUCGAACGUCUGCCCUAUCAACU
RNAcentral lists this non-coding RNA (472 nucleotides) under Erinaceus europaeus (western European hedgehog). RNAcentral describes it as "Eukaryotic small subunit ribosomal RNA". It matches the Rfam family "Eukaryotic small subunit ribosomal RNA", at positions 477 to 978 of the family's 1831-position model. The record is from Rfam by way of RNAcentral. Lineage: Eukaryota; Metazoa; Chordata; Mammalia; Eulipotyphla; Erinaceidae.